ACUCAUACCUGGCAGGGAAGAUACCAUGAUAAUGAAAGUGGUUUUCCCAGGGUGAGGCUCAUCCAUUGCACUUUGGGCGUGCUGAUCCCUGUGAUUUCCCCAAAUGUGGGGAAAUCAACUGCAUAAUUUGUGGUAGUGGGAGACUUUGUGCUUUCCACUGGUCUUUC
RNAcentral lists this small nuclear RNA (167 nucleotides) under Pogona vitticeps (central bearded dragon). Its description in RNAcentral is "U1 spliceosomal RNA (ENSPVIG00000002210.1)". It matches the Rfam family "U1 spliceosomal RNA". Rfam says of the family: U1 is a small nuclear RNA (snRNA) component of the spliceosome (involved in pre-mRNA splicing). Its 5' end forms complementary base pairs with the 5' splice junction, thus defining the 5' donor site of an intron. There are significant differences in sequence and secondary structure between metazoan and yeast U1 snRNAs, the latter being much longer (568 nucleotides as compared to 164 nucleotides in human). The record is from Rfam by way of RNAcentral. Lineage: Eukaryota; Metazoa; Chordata; Lepidosauria; Squamata; Agamidae.